This 381-nucleotide ribosomal RNA is filed under the name Triticum aestivum (bread wheat). RNAcentral describes it as "partial small subunit ribosomal RNA". The record is from RNAcentral. Lineage: Eukaryota; Viridiplantae; Streptophyta; Magnoliopsida; Poales; Poaceae.
AUGAAAGACGGAAAAAAAUCAUUGGCUUAUCAAAUUCUCUAUCGAGCCGUGAAAAAGAUUCAACCAAAUACAGAAACAAAUCCACUAUUGGUUUUACGUCAAGCAAUACGUAGAGUAACUCCCAAUAUAGGAGUAAAAACAAGACGUAAUAAAAAAGGAUCGACGCGGAAAGUUCCGAUUGAAAUAGGAUCUAAACAAGGAAGAGCACUUGCCAUUCGUUGGUUAUUAGAAGCAUCCCAAAAGCGUCCGGGUCGAAAUAUGGCUUUCAAAUUAAGUUCCGAAUUAGUAGAUGCUGCCAAAGGGAGUGGAGGUGACAUACGCAAAAAGGAAGCGACUCAUAGAAUGGUAGAGGCAAAUAGAGCUCUUGCACAUUUUCGUUAA